This is a long non-coding RNA of Gambusia affinis (western mosquitofish), 240 nucleotides long. RefSeq lists it as uncharacterized. The transcript is spliced from 4 exons. The record is from RefSeq and is a predicted model, not a curated record. Lineage: Eukaryota; Metazoa; Chordata; Actinopteri; Cyprinodontiformes; Poeciliidae.
GUCAAAGUGACAGCGACUGAGAAGAGGCCAGGGAAACCAAACAGACAGCGUGUGGACACGUAGAAGUCAAAAUCAUAAGAUAUGGGAAAAAGGAGGAACUCCCCAGAGAGGAAUUUUGUGGGGGGUGACAGGAGUGCAUCCUCUGGAAACGGGGAAAGUGACAUGGAAGAAGAAACCAACAAACAGCAAGUCGAUCAAAAUCUUUCACAUGAAAAUGAAGAAAAUACACCUGAAAACAAG